UACGUAGGGUGCAAGCGUUAUCCGGAAUUAUUGGGCGUAAAGAGCUCGUAGGCGGUUUGUCGCGUCUGCUGUGAAAACUGGAGGCUCAACCUCCAGCCUGCAGUGGGUACGGGCAGACUAGAGUGCGGUAGGGGAGAUUGGAAUUCCUGGUGUAGCGGUGGAAUGCGCAGAUAUCAGGAGGAACACCGAUGGCAGGAAGGCAGGUCUCGUGGGACUUAACUGACGCUGAGAGCGAAAAGCAUGGGGAGCGAACAGG
Molecule: ribosomal RNA, 256 nt
Filed under: uncultured bacterium
Lineage: Bacteria
Description: partial 16S ribosomal RNA
Rfam family: Bacterial small subunit ribosomal RNA
Source: RNAcentral